RNAcentral lists this ribosomal RNA (675 nucleotides) under Triticum aestivum (bread wheat). Its description in RNAcentral is "partial small subunit ribosomal RNA". Lineage: Eukaryota; Viridiplantae; Streptophyta; Magnoliopsida; Poales; Poaceae. The record is from RNAcentral.
AUGGAAAGCUAUUGUAAAAGUGAAGGAGACUUAUUUGGCAGGGAGGGGGUGAUUCUGAACUCUGGGAAUAUAGCCAGGGUAUGGAAUGAUCCAAUUAGGGGUGCUUCUCCCUUGCGUUGUAAAUUCCCGGCCCUGUUCAGUAUAUGUAAUUAUCAGGAAAUUACAGUUGCUAACAUCAAAAUUUUUGAGGGUGAUGACCUUUUUAGAAGGAACCUCCACCUGCCUCUUAUGGAUCAGUGGAACGAUCUGGUUGGGGUGGUUAACUCUUGGCAUCUUUUCGAUGAGACAGAUGGCAUUCUAUGGAGAUUGGGAAGUAAAGGUAAAUUCUCGACCAAAUCGGUAUAUUCCUAUCUGGAGAGAAAUCAGGCAGGAUGUGAUUUCAGGUGGAUAUGGAAAGCAAAAAUCCCUUUAAAAAUUCAGAUUUUUCUCUGGCAACUAUUCCAAGAUGCGGUUUUGACUCGAGAUGUCAUGAGAAGACGAAAAUGGGCAGGAAAUCCUAAAUGCUCGUUCUGUAAUGAAGUGGAAACCUCACAACAUCUCUUUUUCACUUGUCCUGUGGCUAGGGUGGUGUGGAGGACAGUUGGGUGUGUUUUUGGCACAUCGAUGUGCCCAAACAACCUUUGGCAGUAUUUCUCCUGGUGUUACAUCUUCCUCCCUGAUGGGGCUAAAUUUUAA